Molecule: ribosomal RNA, 336 nt
Filed under: uncultured bacterium
Lineage: Bacteria
Description: bacterial SSU rRNA
Rfam family: Bacterial small subunit ribosomal RNA
Source: RNAcentral
AUUGAACGCUGGCGGCAUGCCUAACACAUGCAAGUCGAACGGCAGCACGGGAGCUUGCUCCUGGUGGCGAGUGGCGAACGGGUGAGUAAUGCAUCGGAACGUGCCAUUGAGUGGGGGAGUAACGUAGCGAAAGUUGCGCUAAUACCGCAUAUUCUGUGAGCAGGAAAGACAGGGGACCGGCAAGGCCUUGCGCUCUUUGAGCGGCCGAUGUCAGAUUAGCUAGUUGGUGAGGUAACGGCUUACCAAGGCGACGAUCUGUAGCGGGUCUGAGAGGAUGAUCCGCCACACUGGAACUGAGACACGGUCCAGACUCCUACGGGAGGCAGCAGUGGGGAA